CCUACGGGUGGCAGCAGUAGGGAAUAUUGCUCAAUGGGGGAAACCCUGAAGCAGCAACGCCGCGUGGAGGAUGAAGGUUUUCGGAUUGUAAACUCCUUUUGUUAGAGAAGAUAAUGACUGUAUCUAACGAAUAAGCACCGGCCAAAUCCGUGCCAGCAGCCGCGGUAAUACGGAGGGUGCAAGCGUUACUCGGAAUCACUGGGCGUAAAGCGCGCGUAGGCGGGAUAGCAAGUCAGAUGUGAAAUCCUAUGGGUUAAACAUAGAACUGCAUUUGAAACUGUUAUUCUAGAGUAUGGGAGAGGUAGGUGGAAUUCUUGGUGUAGGGGUAAAAUCCGUAGAGAUCAAGAGGAAUACUCAUUGCGAAGGCGACCUGCUAGAACGUAACUGACGCUGAUGCGCGAAGGCGUGGGGAGCAAACAGGAUUAGAUACCCCUGUAGUC
Molecule: ribosomal RNA, 440 nt
Filed under: uncultured bacterium
Lineage: Bacteria
Description: partial 16S ribosomal RNA
Rfam family: Bacterial small subunit ribosomal RNA
Source: RNAcentral